Molecule: transfer RNA, 72 nt
Filed under: Camelus bactrianus (Bactrian camel)
Lineage: Eukaryota; Metazoa; Chordata; Mammalia; Artiodactyla; Camelidae
Also listed under: 2 other names
Rfam family: tRNA
About the family: Transfer RNA (tRNA) molecules are approximately 80 nucleotides in length. Their secondary structure includes four short double-helical elements and three loops (D, anti-codon, and T loops).
Source: Rfam by way of RNAcentral
GAGGGUAUGGCUCAGUGGUGGAGUGCAUGCUUAGCAUGCACGAGGUCCUGGGUUCAACCCCUAGUACCUCCA